UUGAAGUCUCCUUUACUUUCACUAUUGGCGGGUUUUAGUCAAUUCUCGUUCAAAACACCGAGAACUUGGAUAAUAGCCCUCCCGCAACAUACAUUGCAGCGAUCCAGCCAAGAGCUUUCCUCUUUCUCCUGAUCAUGGUGCUUGUAGUCUGCUGCUUCAGCCUACUCCAAUCUCGUAAUGAAGACUCAUCUCCUGUUGGAAGACUUGAACCUGUGCUUUGUCUGUCUGGCUUUCCAGUUGCUCCCUGAGACACAAGUUCCCAGCUCCUAUUCCCCACAGGCUGUCCCAGGCUUUACCAAGGCCAAGACAGGUGGGGAGCAGCUCCCUCUGCUUCCGGUACACCUCAUCCCUGGAAAUAGAAGAGAAGCAGAACUUGCUAUUGACUUGCUGAAAACACUUGCUGGAAGAAAGACGUGAUUUCAAGAUGCUCUUGUGAUACAUCUUU
Tupaia belangeri chinensis (Chinese tree shrew) is the source of this 445-nucleotide long non-coding RNA. RefSeq lists it as uncharacterized. The record is from RefSeq and is a predicted model, not a curated record. The transcript is spliced from 3 exons. Lineage: Eukaryota; Metazoa; Chordata; Mammalia; Scandentia; Tupaiidae.